UAAACAUUAAGCCCAGAUGGUUAAGAUAACAAAAAGCUGGGGAAUUUUUAUCUCCUUCCUUCUCUAGUUUUCACAUAGAGGGACUUCCCUGACCCCACACACUUGGCCCCUCUCUGCUCCCUUUUUGACCCAGCUAGGAGUGAUUUGUCACUUGAGUUUAUGUAUGACUCACUCUCUUCCCCUCCCUCUCCCUCUCUUUUGGUAUAUGCCUGCCCUGGGAGAACACACAAGCUCUGCUGUCAGCCAUGUGCAGGAAAUGGAGAAACAGUGCCCAGAAGGUGAAAAAGAAGAGACGACCCCCUGAAGGGGACAUCCACAUUUAUUUGAGCACCUACCAGCAAAGUGCUGGGCACGCAGAAGGAUGAUGUGAUGAAGCGCCAUCACAUGGCUGGUAGCCUGUGGUGAGUCACUGGACUUCUCGACUCCCACCUCACUAGGGUGGAAGGAAGAGUAACCACAAGGCUCUGCAACUCGGGCUGC
Long non-coding RNA from Nomascus leucogenys (northern white-cheeked gibbon), 480 nucleotides. RefSeq lists it as uncharacterized. The record is from RefSeq and is a predicted model, not a curated record. The transcript is spliced from 3 exons. NCBI's taxonomy places the organism in Eukaryota, Metazoa, Chordata, Mammalia, Primates, Hylobatidae.